GACGAACGCUGGCGGCGUGCCUAAUACAUGCAAGUCGAACGCAGGGGGGACGGGUGAGUAACACGUGGGUAACCUCCCAUCAGAGGGGAUAACACUUGGAAACAGGUGCUAAACCGAUACUGAUGGAUGGAGCCGUGGUGAAUUAGCUAGUUGGUGAGGUAACGGCUCACAAAGGCAACGAUGCAUAGCCGGCCUGAGAGGGUGAUCAGCCACACUGGGACUGAGACACGGCCCAGACUCCUACGUGAGGCAGCAGUAGGGAAUCUUCGACAAUGGGCGAAAGUCUGACCAAGCAACGCCGCGUGAGUGAAGAAGGUUUUCGGAUCGUAAAGCUCUUUUGGUAGAGAAGCGGUAUCUAACCAAAAAGCCACGGCUAACUACGUGCCAGCCGCCGCGGUAAUUC
This 403-nucleotide ribosomal RNA is filed under the name uncultured bacterium. Its description in RNAcentral is "partial 16S ribosomal RNA". It matches the Rfam family "Bacterial small subunit ribosomal RNA", at positions 28 to 526 of the family's 1533-position model. The record is from RNAcentral.